AUGGACUCGGCGGCGUCGCUCCUCGAGGCGUACCGCCGCGACCGGCGCCGCCUCCUGGGCUUCCUCCUCUCCUCCGCCGGCGGCCGCGCCGUCGACCUCNNNNNNNNNNNNNNNNNNNNNNNNNNNNNNNNNNNNNNNNNNNNNNNNNNNNNNNNNNGCGCGCAGUUCGACGCUUCGGAGGCCACUAGGAGAUACUUUGACGACAGGAGGUACCCGAUCAUGACGAGCUCGCCAUCAGGGAACUCAUAUUUUCUUCUUUCAAGGCCAGAAGGCUCUGGUUCUCCUCCAAAGAAAGUAGCACCAGACAUUGGACCCGAACCACCUGCAGAAGAGAACUCAAGUAGAGCAAGGAAACAUAGUGAUUCUUUUAAAGUAGCAGUUAACAUUCAGGGAGCAUCCUAUGUUCUGAAGGAUCUUAGUUUGACAAAUACGACUCCUCAGCAAGCCAAAGAAAUGGAUCUUCUUUCUCUAGGUUUACCUAGAUUAAAUGCAGAAUUGUCUGAUGAUGAUCUAAGAGAAACAGCUUAUGAGGUCCUUCUUGCUUCUCUAUUUGUCAGUGGAAAAAUGUACUUUGCUGAAGAGAAGAGAGAAAAGAAGCCUAAGUUCUUGAAGGGUUUGAGGUCCAAGACUGAAGGAUCUAAUUCAGCACCUCAGAUGGAAAAUUAUUAUACUCACCAUCUUGAUUUGAUCCGAGUACAAAUGGAGAUAUCAGAAUCUAUGGAUACAUUGGCUAAGAGAGCUUUAAGACGUAUUGGUUCGAAGAUGGUGCAGGGACAACUUGACGUGCCUUGCAUAUCACUACAGCUCUUAAGCUCUGUUGGCAAAUUUGAUUUCCCAACAGAAAGAUUGCGUGUACAAUGGCAGAGAAGACAGGCAAAUGUUCUAGAAGAAUUACUUCUGUUCUCAGCAUCUCGUGAGUGCAGUAUGAGUGAAACAUUGCGGAUAGUUCUCUCCAAGCUAAAAAAUACAGAGGACUGGGUUGUGAGUGUUCCUGAUGGGCGUAUUGAGGUCUUGACUAUUAUUGAAAGAUACAAUACAAGACUAUCUGCAGCUCCAAAGAAGUUUGGCCUUAAAGGCGAAACCUACCAUUGGACUCAGAGCUAUCAUUUUAAUUCUAGGCUAUAUGAGAAACUUCUCUCCAGCGUCUUCGAUAUUCUUGAAGAUGGACAACUUGUAGAGGAGGCUGAUGAAAUACUUGAAACAAUGAAGCUGACCUGGCCUAUAUUGGGCAUUACCCGAAAGUUGCAUGACGCCCUGUAUGCUUGGGUGCUUUUCCAGAAGUUUGCUCAAACUGGGGAAAUUCUUCUACUGAAACAGACAGACCUUCAGAUACAGAAACUAAAGUUACAUAGUAAUGUUAGAGAAGCAGAGCUGUAUAUAGAUAGCUUUGUUUGUUCUGUGGAAGGAUUUGGCAGCAAUGGCGCUCUAAAUUUGGUGGACAGUGCCCUUCUUAAAAUAAACAUGUGGUGCCAUAGACAACUGAAGAAUUAUCACUUAUACUUCAGUCAGGCUAACUGUUCAAUCUUCGAGAGCAUGCUGAACUUGGUAUUACUUUCGGCGGCAAAUCUUACUGAUGAUGAUGAGGAAGCCAUGCUCAUUGGGACCCCGCUUGGCAGUACACCAGAAUCUACGUUGAUCCACAUACUCGUUGUCAGAUCCAUUCAAACUGCAUAUAAGAAUGCCCUAAUUUCAGCAGAUGGCCAAUCAAAAGCAGAAUUUAAGCAUCCAUUGAUAUUGCUUGCAAGUGAGCUAAAGCUAUUAGUGGAGAAAGAGUGCUCUGCAUUCAGCCCAGUACUUCACAAAUAUUAUCCUGAAGCUGGAAGAGUAGCACUAACUGUCUUUCACCUACUUUAUGGCCAACAACUGGAGCUGUUCCUGGAAGGGAGUGAUCAUUCAGAAAACUUGAAAGAGAUACUUGGAGCAUCAAACAGCUUUGAGCUCUGUAUAGCUCAGAAACUUUACUCGAUGUACGGGGAAGCUGCUGGGUCUUCAUUGUCCAACUUCCUAAAACCAUACAUGAUAGAUCGUUUUUCUUCACCCAUCAUUCUUCAGUGGCUUCAUGCUCAACACGAGAAUGUUUUCGAGUGGACAAAGCGUACCAUUGAGAUUGAGGAUUGGGAGCCUCUGUCAGUUCACAGGAAACUAGCAACAUCUAUGGUUGAAGUCUUCCGGAUUGUGGAGGAGACUAUUGAUCAGUUUUUUAACUCAAGUCUACCUCUGGAUAUUGUCCACCUGCGGAGUCUGCUUAUAGGGAUCACUAGCAGCCUUCAAGUCUAUUUGCUUCACAUGGAAAAUCAACAAGUUUCUAGAGCUACCCUGCUUCCUGUUGCGCCAGUCUUGACACGUUAUGCGGAAUCAAUUAAUCCAUUUGCCAAAAGGAAACUUAUUGAGUCUGCAGUUCGUGAAGAAAAGGUGGCUAAUAAAUUGAACAAUUUGACAGUCCCAAAAUUAUGUGUGAAACUCAACACCCUUCAGUACAUUAGAGAUCAACUUGAUACCAUAGAAGAGGGCAUCAAACAAUCCUGGGUCGAUGUCCAGUCAGCUGUGGGAUUGUUAGACUAUUUGUCUUGUAUGACCAGUGAAGGAGCUACUUCAAAAAGUUCGCCUUCUGAUGAGUCGAUUGAUGAGUUAUUUACAAUAUUUGAUGAUGUGCGAAGGACUGCAGUGAAUAUAACUGACACAAUCUUGAACUUCAUUGGAACAAGGGCUGUAUUCUGGGAUAUGAGGGACUUGCUUCUUUUCUCCUUGUACCGUACUAGCGUUGAAAGUGCACGCAUGGAGAUUUUUAUCCCUACAAUUGAACAGGUUCUUGAUCAGGUAUGUGAUCUAAUCGUUGACGUGUUGAGAGACCGAGUUGUGCUGAGAGUUUUUCAAGCAUGCAUGGAAGGAUUCAUUUGGGUCCUACUGGAUGGAGGUCCAUCCCGCGCAUUUUUGGAGACAGAUGUGAACUUGAUGAAAGAUGAUCUGGCUAUGCUCGAGGAUCUUUUUAUAGCAGAAGGCCAAGGUUUACCAUCAGAUGUUAUUGAAAAGGAGGCUAAAUUAGCUCAGCAGAUUUUAGACCUCUAUGUGCUAAAGGCUGAUACAAUCAUUGAUUUGCUGAUGAAAGCAAGUGAACAUAUGUCACACCAUCCUGAACCCGCAACUGCUCGGAGAAGAAAUGUACAUGAUGUCCAUACCCUCCUUCGAGUUUUGUGCCAUAAAAAGGAUAAUGGUGCCUCCACAUUUUUGAAAAUCCAAUAUCAUCUUCCAAGGUCCUCAGACUAUGACGAUGUUCCUGUAAAGGAUGCACCAUCUAAAGUACCUAUAUUUUCAGACAUGCUGAAUAGGGGUGCUUCAUUUAAUUGGUCAGAAACUGGGCAGCAGAGUUUUAGGAUUAUGAAGAAGAAACUGCAAGAAGCUAGUUGGCAGUAA
This 3411-nucleotide ribosomal RNA is filed under the name Triticum aestivum (bread wheat). RNAcentral describes it as "partial small subunit ribosomal RNA". The record is from RNAcentral. Lineage: Eukaryota; Viridiplantae; Streptophyta; Magnoliopsida; Poales; Poaceae.